Molecule: long non-coding RNA, 601 nt
Filed under: Volvox carteri
Lineage: Eukaryota; Viridiplantae; Chlorophyta; Chlorophyceae; Chlamydomonadales; Volvocaceae
Description: long non-coding RNA (VCAR_LNC000747)
Source: RNAcentral
AGGGGAGGUGGCACUAGGGGUCCAGCUGAAGGUCACUGUUACGGGUGCGACACCGCUGCUGGGUGUGGUUGUGAGGGUGGCUCCAGACGGCAAGGUGCUGCUGGAGGCUGUAAUUACAUCACCAGCAUUGGGGUCCGUCACAGUAAACACCACCUGCAUAUACACACGUGUUAAGCAAUGCGUGUAAGGAGUACCGAAACGUUAGGUACCUCAAUGUGCCAUCACCACAUAAGCAUCCUCUUGCAACCCCCACAUGCCCUCACAACCAGAUUCACAGACCAACACACACACACCCCUGUGUUCAACAAACUCUCAAUUCCCCUAUCACCACAGCGAGGGGUGGCUUCACUCCCCGACCUGACCACCAGUGAGGGACAGCAGUGAGGGUUGGCUGCACCGUCAGUGUAUGCCGAUAUGGCACACGCAUCACAGCCACGCGAAUACACCCUAACAACAGUGUGUAGUAACUGGCCGCUGAAAAGGCCUCUCUAGAUGCUGGUGGACGCGCUUAGCGCGUAUUUGUAGUUGUUCACGGUGCCGUACGGUGUGCCGGCUACUACACAGUGCUUUCUGUAUGAGUCACUGCAUGGCACGUUUAUGU